GAUGGGAGGAUUCGACUUAUUGCCAUGUUUACUUAGAAUUCAGCGUAUUAGGGCAGUCAGAAAUGCUGCUUCUGCAGUACAUGAUGAAGUACGAAGUGGAAUGUCAACUGUAUAUCUACUGGGUACUGACUACUUGGUUGGAACUUGGUUACUUGGACUGUGAAGGUACGGUGAUUUGCAAUUAUUCAUCACUUGAAGUCUUAGCUGACACCAACGCGAGUCCAUUUUCUGGCGCUUUUUCUUGUCACUUGUUGGCUUGUGGCCUGCUGGUCCAUGCAUUCUCUGAUUUCACCAAGGACAUUUGCAAUUUCACUGUUGUUGCAUUAUAUGGUACUUAUGAUACACUGCAUCCCGAGACCAUUGAACAGUGUAGAGCUAGUACAGGAGAGAAACACGGAUCUGAGUCUUCACUUCUUGUAGUCAACCAGGCAUUCUCUGCCGUGGUACAUGCUGUUGGUCGAGCAACCAAUGGUUAUGUCCAGACCUUGAGGCAGUACAAAACUGGAGGUCAUCCUGAUAACUAGAUGGGCCAAU
Molecule: long non-coding RNA, 534 nt
Filed under: Oryza sativa Indica Group (long-grained rice)
Lineage: Eukaryota; Viridiplantae; Streptophyta; Magnoliopsida; Poales; Poaceae
Description: lncRNA OsZS97_04G027470
Source: RNAcentral